This 273-nucleotide long non-coding RNA is filed under the name Helianthus annuus (common sunflower). Its description in RNAcentral is "hypothetical non coding rna". Lineage: Eukaryota; Viridiplantae; Streptophyta; Magnoliopsida; Asterales; Asteraceae. The record is from RNAcentral.
UUUUUAGUGCCUCGGUUCAGUUUCGGGUCCGGUCAACCCUGGUCAACACGGGUCAAACGUGGUCAAAGCUGGUCAAAGGUGGUCAAAGCUGCUCAAAUUCAGUCAACUGCUGGUCAACGCAGUCAACUCAGUCAACACGAAGCUCGGUAAAAUUUAAACGAUGCGAAUUUUGAAUGCUAUAGUUGCACGCUAGCUACUUCACAUUCUUGGAACGACACUACAGAAUCACGUUAAGCUAGCUUUGCACAGGAAUGUCAAGGUGAGUUCAUAACC